Molecule: long non-coding RNA, 2151 nt
Filed under: Homo sapiens (human)
Lineage: Eukaryota; Metazoa; Chordata; Mammalia; Primates; Hominidae
Description: HSALNT0244023
Source: RNAcentral
GUUUAGGACUAGAAACUUGGCACUGGAUUCCAAAGAACAACAUGGGAUUUUUCUUUCUCUUCCCUCUCUCGCUUAUAAAUGAGGGCACAGCUGGGUUCUGUGAUAAAAUGCCCAACUCCACCUGCUCUAGAUGUUGCAAAGGUAAGUUUGGGCUCCUAUAAUUCUGCUCUGUGACACACCUGCUUCUGCAGCUCCUUCCUGGGGUGGGGAGUGGGGUGGGGACACCUGAUCAUAGGGUGAGCAAGCGGCUCACCAGGACCGAGGGGGUUUCAGGGAGGUGGGACUUUCAGUGCUAAAACCCAGAAUGUGCUGGCCCAACCAGGAUAAGUUGAUCACCCUCCCUGAGAGUUUGGGAUUCUAUGAGGACUCCUGUCUAGAGUGCAGCGCCACUGCGAGGGUGGUCCUUUAUUGUCAGAAACCUCAUUCCCAGAAGGAGACAUGCAGUGGAAACUGAGCGUCCUCUGCCCUGCGGUGCCCAGCUCCAUUCAAGGCAAGCUUGGUCCCUCUGGCUUUCACGGGGAUGUGAACACCUUGCCAGGCUCCUCUCUGCUCCUUCCUCACUCCUUGGCACUGGCCUUGGCAUCCUCUAGCUGAGCCCAGGUCCUGUCCCUGAAGAGCUGCCGCCCCAGCCCCACUGCCAGCACAACCCCUCCCACCCCACCUGUCCCAGGGCCACCUGUGCUCACUUCGGCUCUAUCUCUGCUUGGGGGCCACUCUAACACUGGUUCUCUUUUCACCUUAAAAAGAGUUGCUGGAACCAAACCCCAGUGACUUGUCAGCAUUCACGCCACUCCUUCCAAACCCUCCAGAAAGCACACCUGUGGAUGAGAGGCGCAAUUAACGUUAUCAGUCGUGAAGGAUCAGAAGGAAAACCCAGUGGCCGUUGGGAAUUUAGAGAUGGUGUUUCGCCAUGUUGGGCAGACUAGACUCGAACUCCUGACCUCAAGUGAUCUACCCACCUUGGCUUCCCAAAGUGCUGGAAUUCCAGGUGUGAGCCACUGUACCCAGCCCACUUCAAAUUUACCACUCCAGACCUUUGUUCUAGAUGGGGAGAACUGGACCCUAUGGGAAAUCAUACGGAUCUGAAAUUCACCCCGGAAACUGACCUGGGGUGAGGACAACAGGUGGAAUGAAACCCCAAGCAGACCCUAUAGAGGCAAGGAAGGAGAUUGAGACCCUUCUGCAGAAAGCUGUUAUGAGCCUAGAAUUUUAACUUAUGCUAUUGACACCAUGCCAAGCACCCAAGGAAAAGGAAAGAGAAGAACCUACACCGCCUCCUCCUUGCUAGUGAGUGAGGUAAAAUGAUCUGGGGAGGAAAAAAAACAAAAAAAAUGAGGUGAGAAACACCAGAUGGAGCAGAGAGACUGCCCAGAAAUUGCUGCUUUUGUCAACCUAGAUUUGUUUGCAGGUGAGUGCAGUGUUGAUAGAAAGCAAGUCUAUUUCCAGAGGGGAUCCCCAGGAUCUCCUAUCAAAGAGCAAGCUCUGGAGCUAGUCCCCAGAUGCAGACAGAUCUACUGACCGAACCACGAUCACUCCAACCCCAAUCUCCCAAGAGGUUCUGAGGAUACAAUAGUUCUCAAUCCUUAGGUACACACAUUGUUCACAGGGAGUGACUCGGUGGUUAUUAAUGGCUUAUUAGGCUGUUCUUGGAGGUAAUUUACAUCUCGUUUGAGCCUCUGCUUUUCAGGCAUUUUUCUGCAAAUGGCUGUAGGCUUUUUUCUAAAAAAAAAAAAAGAAACUAAAUCCAUUGAAUACUCAUGCAUAUUCUCCAAAAUGCCUUAAAUCAGUACCUAAAACUUGAAACUAGUUUUUCCCCCAUUGAAGAAAUUAUCUGGCCCUGAUCUCUCUUACUUGCUGUCCUGUGAUUGAAAAGAACUUUUGUGGGGGAAUUUUUAAAAUAAUUGCCACCAAAUACUUCAAAUGGAAUUCAGAUAGCAGUCUAUUUCACGUUUCAUGCUUUUGUGACAUUCUUGCUCAGGAAUGAAUCUUUUAUGAAAGGUCUAUUUUAAGUUGCACCUUCCAGAACUUUAUUUUUGUCUCUGAAAGAAAGAGGCAGAGCAGAACCUGGAUUCUUCCAAUUCACCGAUUUACUGUGAGCUUAGGAUUGGCUCUCCUGGGGGUCGGCGGGGUGGGGGGUGAUGGGCUUCCAGC